UUGAACGCUGGCGGCAGGCCUAACACAUGCAAGUCGAGCGCGAAAACACUUCGGUGUGAGUAGAGCGGCGGACGGGUGAGUAAUGCUUGGGAAUCUGCCCAGUAGUGGGGGAUAACGUGUGGAAACGCACGCUAAUACCGCAUACGUCCUACGGGAGAAAGCAGGGGAUCUUCGGACCUUGCGCUAUUGGAUGAGCCCAAGUCGGAUUAGCUAGUUGGUGGGGUAAUGGCCUACCAAGGCGACGAUCCGUAGCUGGUCUGAGAGGAUGAUCAGCCACACUGGGACUGAGACACGGCCCAGACUCCUACGGGAGGCAGCAGUGGGGAAUAUUGCACAAUGGGCGAAAGCCUGAUGCAGCCAUGCCGCGUGUGUGAAGAAGGCUCUAGGGUUGUAAAGCACUUUCAGUAGGGAGGAAAAGCUUAAGGUUAAUAACCUUGAGCCCUGACGUUACCUACAGAAGAAGCACCGGCAAACUCCGUGCCAGCAGCCGCGGUAAUACGGAGGGUGCGAGCGUUAAUCGGAAUUACUGGGCGUAAAGCGCGCGUAGGUGGUUUGAUAAGCUAGCUGUGAAAGCCCCGGGCUCAACCUGGGAACUGCAGUUAGAACUGUCUGACUAGAGUACAGUAGAGGGUGGCGGAAUUUCCUGUGUAGCGGUGAAAUGCGUAGAUAUAGGAAGGAACAUCAGUGGCGAAGGCGGCCACCUGGACUGAUACUGA
RNAcentral lists this ribosomal RNA (716 nucleotides) under gamma proteobacterium IMCC15115. Its description in RNAcentral is "bacterial SSU rRNA". It matches the Rfam family "Bacterial small subunit ribosomal RNA", at positions 29 to 743 of the family's 1533-position model. The record is from RNAcentral. Lineage: Bacteria; Pseudomonadati; Pseudomonadota; Gammaproteobacteria.